UCUCUCGUUUCUCUUGCCGUC
This 21-nucleotide non-coding RNA is filed under the name Arabidopsis thaliana (thale cress). The record is from RNAcentral. Lineage: Eukaryota; Viridiplantae; Streptophyta; Magnoliopsida; Brassicales; Brassicaceae.